CGUCCCAGCCUUGGUGGGACCCCAAAACUUUCUGGACCCACCCAGGUGAGGGCACAGGGGAGGGCACAGGUGAGGGCACAGGUGAGGGCACAGGUGAGGGCACAGGGGAGGGCACAGGUGAGGGCACAGGUGAGGG
This is a long non-coding RNA of Corvus hawaiiensis (hawaiian crow), 136 nucleotides long. RefSeq lists it as uncharacterized. Lineage: Eukaryota; Metazoa; Chordata; Aves; Passeriformes; Corvidae. The record is from RefSeq and is a predicted model, not a curated record. The transcript is spliced from 2 exons.